Paramuricea clavata is the source of this 119-nucleotide non-coding RNA. NCBI's taxonomy places the organism in Eukaryota, Metazoa, Cnidaria, Anthozoa, Malacalcyonacea, Plexauridae. The record is from the annotation of a GenBank genome assembly.
GAUAUCGACAGGAAGGUUGUGUUGCCCACUAUGAACAAGUUGUCAACAAUGUUGUUGCAAGUUUUGUUGACAACUUGUCCAUAGUGGGCAGCACAACCUUGUUCACGCCUGUCAAUAUC